RNAcentral lists this ribosomal RNA (498 nucleotides) under Stephomyia rotundifoliorum. Its description in RNAcentral is "partial large subunit ribosomal RNA". The stretch from base 1 to 148 matches the Rfam family "Archaeal large subunit ribosomal RNA", at positions 1889 to 2084 of the family's 2987-position model. The record is from RNAcentral. Lineage: Eukaryota; Metazoa; Arthropoda; Insecta; Diptera; Cecidomyiidae.
CGCCUGUUUAUUAAAAACAUAGUUUUAAAAUUUAAUUUAAAAUAUUUUCUGCCCAUUGAUAUUUUUUAAAGGCCGCAGUAUUUUGACUGUGCUAAGGUAGCAUAAUAAUUAGGUUUUUAAUUGAAAUCUUGAAUGAAUGGAAUAAUGAAAAAUAAUCUUUUUUAAUUUUAAUAAUUUAAUUUUAUAUUUUAGUUAAAAAGCUAAGGUUUAUUUAUUAGACGAGAAGACCCUAUAGAGUUUAAUUAUUAUAAUUAAUAUUUAUUUGUUAUUUAAUUUAAUUGGGGAGAUUUUAAAAUUUUUUUAACUUUUUAUUUUUAUUUCAAUAAUUUUUGUUUAUUUGAUCUUUUUUUAUUGAUUAAAAAUUUAAAUUACCUUAGGGAUAACAGCAUAAUUUUUUAAAGAAGUUCUUAUUUUUUAAAAAGUUUAUGACCUCGAUGUUGGAUUAAAUAAUUUUUAUUUGAAGAAAAUUAAAUUAAUAAGUCUGUUCGACUUUUAAAG